AUUGAACGCUGGCGGCAGGCUUAACACAUGCAAGUCGAGCGGGCGAGGUUGCUUCGGUCACUGAGCUAGCGGCGGACGGGUGAGUAAUGCUCAGGAAUCUACCUAUAAGCGGGGGAUAAUCUUCGGACACGGGUGCUAAUACCGCCUAAUAUCUUCUUCCGCAUGGCAGAAGAUUGAAAGACGGCUCUGCUGUCACUUAUAGAUGACCUUGCGGUGCAUUAGUUAGUUGGUGGGGUAAUGGCCUACCAAGACGAUGAUGCAUAGCCGACCUGAGAGGGUGAUCGGCCACAUUGGGACUGAGACACGGCCCAAACUCCUACGGGAGGCAGCAGUAGGGAAUCUUCCGCAAUGGGCGAAAGCCUGACGGAGCAAUGCCGCGUGAGUGAAGAAGGCCUUCGGGUCGUAAAACUCUGUUAUAAGAGAAGAACAAAUUGUAGAGUAACUGCUACAGUCUUGACGGUAUCUUAUCAGAAAGCCACGGCUAACUACGUGCCAGCAGCAGCCGCCG
RNAcentral lists this ribosomal RNA (508 nucleotides) under uncultured bacterium. RNAcentral describes it as "partial 16S ribosomal RNA". It matches the Rfam family "Bacterial small subunit ribosomal RNA", at positions 30 to 523 of the family's 1533-position model. The record is from RNAcentral.